This 751-nucleotide ribosomal RNA is filed under the name Caulobacteraceae bacterium. RNAcentral describes it as "bacterial SSU rRNA". It matches the Rfam family "Bacterial small subunit ribosomal RNA", at positions 25 to 822 of the family's 1533-position model. The record is from RNAcentral. Lineage: Bacteria; Pseudomonadati; Pseudomonadota; Alphaproteobacteria; Caulobacterales; Caulobacteraceae.
CAGAGCGAACGCUGGCGGCAGGCCUAACACAUGCAAGUCGAACGAACUCUUCGGAGUUAGUGGCGGACGGGUGAGUAACACGUGGGAACGUGCCUUUAGGUUCGGAAUAACUCAGGGAAACUUGUGCUAAUACCGAAUGUGCCCUUCGGGGGAAAGAUUUAUCGCCUUUAGAGCGGCCCGCGUCUGAUUAGCUAGUUGGUGAGGUAAUGGCUCACCAAGGCGACGAUCAGUAGCUGGUCUGAGAGGAUGAUCAGCCACAUUGGGACUGAGACACGGCCCAAACUCCUACGGGAGGCAGCAGUGGGGAAUCUUGCGCAAUGGGCGAAAGCCUGACGCAGCCAUGCCGCGUGAAUGAUGAAGGUCUUAGGAUUGUAAAAUUCUUUCACCGGGGACGAUAAUGACGGUACCCGGAGAAGAAGCCCCGGCUAACUUCGUGCCAGCAGCCGCGGUAAUACGAAGGGGGCUAGCGUUGCUCGGAAUUACUGGGCGUAAAGGGAGCGUAGGCGGACAUUUAAGUCAGGGGUGAAAUCCCGGGGCUCAACCUCGGAAUUGCCUUUGAUACUGGGUGUCUUGAGUAUGAGAGAGGUGUGUGGAACUCCGAGUGUAGAGGUGAAAUUCGUAGAUAUUCGGAAGAACACCAGUGGCGAAGGCGACACACUGGCUCAUUACUGACGCUGAGGCUCGAAAGCGUGGGGAGCAAACAGGAUUAGAUACCCUGGUAGUCCACGCCGUAAACGAUGAUUGCUAGUUG